CCUACGGGAGGCAGCAGUGGGGAAUAUUGGACAAUGGGGGCAACCCUGAUCCAGCCAUGCCGCGUGUGUGAAGAAGGCCCUCGGGUUGUAAAGCACUUUCAGUGAGGAAGAACGCCUGGUGGUUAAUACCCAUCAGGAAAGACAUCACUCACAGAAGAAGCACCGGCUAACUCCGUGCCAGCAGCCGCGGUAAUACGGAGGGUGCGAGCGUUAAUCGGAAUUACUGGGCGUAAAGCGCGCGUAGGUGGCUUGAUAAGCCGGUUGUGCAAGCCCCGGGCUCAACCUGGGAACGGCAUCCGGAACUGUCAAGCUAGAGGGCAGGAGAGGAAGGUAGAAUUCCCGGUGUAGCGGUGAAAUGCGUAGAGAUCGGGAGGAAUACCAGUGGCGAAGGCGGCCUUCUGGACUGACACUGACACUGAGGUGCGAAAGCGUGGGUAGCAAACAGGAUUAGAUACCCUAGUAGUC
Molecule: ribosomal RNA, 465 nt
Filed under: Vreelandella stevensii
Lineage: Bacteria; Pseudomonadati; Pseudomonadota; Gammaproteobacteria; Oceanospirillales; Halomonadaceae
Description: partial 16S ribosomal RNA
Rfam family: Bacterial small subunit ribosomal RNA
Source: RNAcentral